AGGGUGUAAACGCUGCAGACUUGGUGUUGGAAGUCCUUUGGGGGCAUUCAGUGCCGGAGAGAAGUUGUUAAGUCUGCUACUUGGGGAGUACGUCCGCAAGGAUGAAACUUAAAGGAAUUGGCGGGGGAGCGCCGCAACGGGAGGAGCGUGCGGUUUAAUUGGAUUCAACGCCGGGAAGCUCACCGGAUAAGACAGCGGAAUGAUUGCCGGGCUGAAGACUCUGCAUGACUAGCUGAGAGGAGGUGCAUGGCGUAGACGUCU
RNAcentral lists this ribosomal RNA (261 nucleotides) under uncultured archaeon. Its description in RNAcentral is "partial 16S ribosomal RNA". It matches the Rfam family "Archaeal small subunit ribosomal RNA", at positions 748 to 1009 of the family's 1478-position model. The record is from RNAcentral.